GGGGACGAAAUUGGUUUCGACUGUUGUUGUCAGGGAUUAUGUGGCGUGUAGAGGUUGUAGGCUCCUCUCAAAACCUUCAAACAAUAACCGCUAAUAACGAAUUAGCCCUAGCAGCUUAAUCACUGCUACGGAACCUUGGUUCUUUCUCCUGAGGGCCAAACGUUCUGACACUUUUCGGGAGGCGUCUCUUUUGGUUUUCGGUUCCUGAGAGAGAUCGUAUUCGAGCUGAAUAGGAAAGAGAGUCCUGUCUGUGGGUUAAACUCGAUCCGACAACUUUAUACAUAGACUACACACGUAGAGGCUAAUCUGGGGCGCAAUAGGACGCGGGUUCGAACCCCGCCGUCUCCAUCG
Molecule: transfer-messenger RNA, 351 nt
Filed under: Leptospira adleri
Lineage: Bacteria; Pseudomonadati; Spirochaetota; Leptospiria; Leptospirales; Leptospiraceae
Description: Standard tmRNA
Rfam family: transfer-messenger RNA
About the family: Bacterial tmRNA, also known as 10Sa RNA or SsrA, is named for its dual tRNA and mRNA-like properties. Its role is to liberate the mRNA from a stalled ribosome.
Source: RNAcentral